UUUCCGUAGGUGAACCUGCGGAAGGAUCAUUAACGAAUAUCUAUGGCGUUGGUUGUAGCUGGCUCUUAGGAGCAUUUGUGCACGCCCGUCAUUCAUAUCACCUUUCCACCUGUGAACUCUGUGUAGGCCUGGAUAACCCUCGCUUUGGCAACAAAGCGGAUGCAGGGAUUGCUGUGUCGACAAGGCCAGCUCUCUUUGAAUUUCCAGGUUCUAUGUCUUUUUACACACCCCAUUUGAAUGACGUAGAAUGUAGUCAAUGGGCUUUCACGCCUAUAAAACACUAUACAACUUUCAGCAACGGAUCUCUUGGCUCUC
This 315-nucleotide unclassified non-coding RNA is filed under the name soil metagenome. Its description in RNAcentral is "partial contains small subunit ribosomal RNA, internal transcribed spacer 1, and 5.8S ribosomal RNA". The record is from RNAcentral.